AUGUCGUUAACGUCCUCCCAUUACAAAAAGCAGCCUCAGAAGUUCAGUCUUCAUUAUGAGAGCAUCGAUAUGGUGGUUGAGAUUUGCAUCACAUUUGUUCUCUCAGCUUUGUGGUUUCAAGUUCAUUGCCAGGAUGUGACCCAACAACCUGCCAUCAGCUGGAGUUAUGAGUCCAAAUCUGCCCAGAUGAACUGCAGACACAACAAAGAUGUCAGUUAUAACCAGAUGUACUGGUACAGGCAGCGUCCAGGGGAGACCAUGACCCUCAUUGUGUACACAGCUUUGGGAGGAAAUCCAGACUAUGGAGAUCAUCCUCAAACCAAAUAUUCAGCCGUCAAAGAUGACGCACAGACCGGGGCUCUCACUGUGAAAGACCUGAAGCCUCAGGACAGCGGUUUGUAUCUCUGUGCCAACAGCAAACACAGUGAUGUGAGAAGCUGA
This is a non-coding RNA of Scatophagus argus, 441 nucleotides long. Lineage: Eukaryota; Metazoa; Chordata; Actinopteri; Scatophagidae. The record is from the annotation of a RefSeq genome assembly.